This 449-nucleotide ribosomal RNA is filed under the name uncultured bacterium. Its description in RNAcentral is "partial 16S ribosomal RNA". It matches the Rfam family "Bacterial small subunit ribosomal RNA", at positions 28 to 523 of the family's 1533-position model. The record is from RNAcentral.
GACGAACGCUGGCGGCGUGCCUAACACAUGCAAGUCGAGCGAAGCCUUCGGGCUUAGCGACGGACGGGUGAGUGACGCGUGGGGACGUGCCCUUUGGUCCGGAAUAGCCGCGGGAAACUGGGAGUAAUACCGUAUGUGGUCGAGAGACGAAAGACUUAUCGCCAAAGGGUCGGCCCGCGUUGGGGUAGGUAGUUGGUGGGGUAAUGGCCUACCAAGCCGACGAUCCAUAGCUGGUUUGAGAGGACGAUCAGGCACACUGGGCCAGAGACACGGGCCAGAUACCUACAGGAGGCAGCAGUGCGGAAUUUGAGACACUGGGGGAAACCCUGAUCUACUCAUGCCGCGUGAUCGAUGAAGGCCUUAGGGUUGUAAAGAUCUUUCAGUGGGGAAGAUAAUGACGGUACCCACAGAAGAAGCCCCGGCUAACUCCGUGCCAGCAGCCGCCGUAA